UACGGAGGGUGCGAGCGUUAAUCGGAAUUACUGGGCGUAAAGAGUGCGUAGGUUGUAUGAUAAGUUAUCUGUGAAAUUCCCGGGCUUAACUUGGGCACUGCAGAUAAUACUGUCGAACUAGAGUAUAGGAGAGGGUAGUGGAAUUUCCGGUGUAGCGGUGAAAUGCGUAGAGAUCGGAAGGAACACCAGUGGCGAAGGCGGCUACCUGGCCUAAUACUGACACUGAGGCACGAAAGCGUGGGGAGCAAACAGG
RNAcentral lists this ribosomal RNA (253 nucleotides) under uncultured bacterium. Its description in RNAcentral is "partial 16S ribosomal RNA". It matches the Rfam family "Bacterial small subunit ribosomal RNA", at positions 524 to 776 of the family's 1533-position model. The record is from RNAcentral.